This 706-nucleotide unclassified non-coding RNA is filed under the name Athalia rosae (coleseed sawfly). Its description in RNAcentral is "misc RNA ENSAEAG00005002744.1". Lineage: Eukaryota; Metazoa; Arthropoda; Insecta; Hymenoptera; Athaliidae. The record is from RNAcentral.
UAUGUACAACAUACUUGUAUAUUAUCCUGUUUCACGACAGCGCCAUUCCACUUAUUCUAGCGUUGAAUGGAACAAAAAAAUAUCCGUAGAAAGAAAAAUGAGUCGUCGUAAGUGAGAACUUGGAAAGAAGCGAAAUAACAAUCGCGAAAUUCGCCGAACAAAGUUUUACCACGACUCUUGGCUCUCAAAAACCUAUAAGCGCAUUAUACGUAUUACACCUCUAUGACAUCGGUUUUUUUUUUUUUUUUUUUUUUUUUUUUUUUUUUUUUUUUUUUUUUUUUUUUUUUUUUUUCUUUUCCUAAAAAAAAAAAAAAAAACAAACGGGUUCUCGUGUAAAAUGCAUGGCUUCUUGCCGUAUAUUCGAGAGGAUAUGCCCAAAGGGCCAUACACCCAUACAAAUCGGCGUGGAUAAUUUAUUAUGUACCAACUGAACGCGUGUCUCGUUCCGCAAUGACUCGAAAAAAAAAACAACAACGGAAUACUCGCUCAAUACCUCCGUAUACAUAGGUAUAGAAUACACGUAUUACAGUUAUGGCUUCAAUUAGUGAAGCUACUCAGCGUAGUGUCGAUGACAGUUUUCUAACUACCUACUUAAUACGAUCUUAUUUCUAACAGCAUAUAUAUACAUUUACAGUCGUCUCGUUGCGACAGUCGGUGUAUAUGAGUAUAGGUAUGUGUGCGCAUGCUGCAGUUAGCAUCACAAGGG